GAAGGUGGCUAGCGUUGUUCGGUGUCACUGGGCUUAAAGCGUGUGUAGGCGGAAAGGUAAGCGCCUUGUGAAAGCCCCCGGCUUAACCGGGGAAUUGCUUGGCGAACUGCUUUUCUUGAGGCAAGUAGGGGUGCAUGGAACUCUUGGUGGAGCGGUGGAAUGCGUAGAUAUCAAGAGGAACGCCAAUGGAGAAAUCAGUGCACUGGGCUUGUCCUGACGCUGAGACACGAAAGCGUGGGGAGCGAACGGGGGAUUAGAUACCCCGGUAGUCCACGCCGUAAACGAUGUCUACUAGGUUGCGGGAGUUCUGACGCUGUCGCGACCGAAGCAAAAGUGUUAAGUAGACCGCCUGGGGAGUACGGCCGCAAGGCUA
This 373-nucleotide ribosomal RNA is filed under the name uncultured organism. RNAcentral's name for it is "partial 16S ribosomal RNA". It matches the Rfam family "Bacterial small subunit ribosomal RNA", at positions 527 to 896 of the family's 1533-position model. The record is from RNAcentral.